GGGCCUCUCUUGAAUGGCCGACAAUCUCCUUCACCCAUGUGCCCUCUGUUGUAGCCUCCUUGUCGAGAUCUCCACUACUGGAGUCUCCUCUAUCAAGAUCUCCCUCAUCGAAAUCUCCUUCGAUAAGACUUCCAUCACAACCUCCAGCAUGGGAACCAUAGAUUCAGUGACUAAAGGGGGAUUCACAUCUCCCACGACUGUAGAAGUUGAUUCGAUGGUCGGAGCCCUGACAUCACUACCCGUCGAAGUCGGAAGACC
RNAcentral lists this long non-coding RNA (258 nucleotides) under Elaeis guineensis (African oil palm). Its description in RNAcentral is "long non-coding RNA (EGUI_LNC035506)". Lineage: Eukaryota; Viridiplantae; Streptophyta; Magnoliopsida; Arecales; Arecaceae. The record is from RNAcentral.